Molecule: non-coding RNA, 451 nt
Organism: Pelobates cultripes (western spadefoot toad)
Lineage: Eukaryota; Metazoa; Chordata; Amphibia; Anura; Pelobatidae
Source: the annotation of a GenBank genome assembly
CCGGGACUUCGGGAGGAGGAGGUAACACUGGAGGAGAGGUGGUAACAGGGGGCUGGGUUAGGGCGGUGAGGGCAGAGAUUAGGGACGGCAAAUCGGCCGCGGGAGGGAGGGAUCCUGGGUCAGCAGGGAGACAGAGAUUCGGAGGAAUAGGGCAGGUGGGAGGGGCACGGGGUAAGGGAGUUGGAUGUGUGAUGGACGGAGAGGGUGAAGGAACGGAGGCUAUCAAGGAAGGGGUACUCGGGGUUGAGAGAGAAGCGGAGGGGGGUGGUGGGACUUCAAUGGGUGAGGUGAGGGAAGCCAUAGUAAGGUCCAGAGUGGGGACGGUCACUUGGGGAGGCAGCGAAGGACAUGAAAGCGGAGGGGUUUCGACAGGCAUGUCAGGAGGAUGGUUAACGAAGGGGGUUGGAUCAUAGGAGGGCUGAGACAUGGGAGCAGGAGGGAAUGAAUGAAG